This 2903-nucleotide ribosomal RNA is filed under the name Cronobacter sakazakii. RNAcentral's name for it is "23S ribosomal RNA". It matches the Rfam family "Bacterial large subunit ribosomal RNA". Lineage: Bacteria; Pseudomonadati; Pseudomonadota; Gammaproteobacteria; Enterobacterales; Enterobacteriaceae. The record is from RNAcentral.
GGUUAAGCGAACAAGCGUACACGGUGGAUGCCCUGGCAGUCAGAGGCGAUGAAGGACGUGCUAAUCUGCGAAAAGCGCCGGUAAGGUGAUAUGAACCGUUAUAACCGGCGAUGUCCGAAUGGGGAAACCCGGUGCACUUCGGUGCAUCAUCGUUAGCUGAAUACAUAGGCUAACGAAGCGAACCGGGGGAACUGAAACAUCUAAGUACCCCGAGGAAAAGAAAUCAACCGAGAUUCCCCCAGUAGCGGCGAGCGAACGGGGAACAGCCCAGAGCCUGAAUCAGCUUGUGUGUCAGUGGAACGGUCUGGAAAGGCCGGCGAUACAGGGUGACAGCCCCGUACACGAAGGCACACAGGCUGUGAGCUCGAUGAGUAGGGCGGGACACGUGAUAUCCUGUCUGAAGAUGGGGGGACCAUCCUCCAAGGCUAAAUACUCCUGACUGACCGAUAGUGAACCAGUACCGUGAGGGAAAGGCGAAAAGAACCCCGGCGAGGGGAGUGAAACAGAACCUGAAACCGUGUACGUACAAGCAGUGGGAGCCUUCGUAAGAGGGUGACUGCGUACCUUUUGUAUAAUGGGUCAGCGACUUAUAUUCUGUAGCAAGGUUAACCGUAUAGGGGAGCCGAAGGGAAACCGAGUCUUAACCGGGCGUUAAGUUGCAGGGUAUAGACCCGAAACCCGGUGAUCUAGCCAUGGGCAGGUUGAAGGUUGGGUAACACUAACUGGAGGACCGAACCGACUAAUGUUGAAAAAUUAGCGGAUGACCUGUGGCUGGGGGUGAAAGGCCAAUCAAACCGGGAGAUAGCUGGUUCUCCCCGAAAGCUAUUUAGGUAGCGCCUCGUGAACUCAUCUCCGGGGGUAGAGCACUGUUUCGGCUAGGGGGCCAUCCCGGCUUACCAACCCGAUGCAAACUGCGAAUACCGGAGAAUGUUAUCACGGGAGACACACGGCGGGUGCUAACGUCCGUCGUGAAGAGGGAAACAACCCAGACCGCCAGCUAAGGUCCCAAAGUCAUGGUUAAGUGGGAAACGAUGUGGGAAGGCCCAGACAGCCAGGAUGUUGGCUUAGAAGCAGCCAUCAUUUAAAGAAAGCGUAAUAGCUCACUGGUCGAGUCGGCCUGCGCGGAAGAUGUAACGGGGCUAAACCAUGCACCGAAGCUGCGGCAGCGACGCUUAUGCGUUGUUGGGUAGGGGAGCGUUCUGUAAGCCUGCGAAGGUGUGCUGUGAGGCAUGCUGGAGGUAUCAGAAGUGCGAAUGCUGACAUAAGUAACGAUAAAGCGGGUGAAAAGCCCGCUCGCCGGAAGACCAAGGGUUCCUGUCCAACGUUAAUCGGGGCAGGGUGAGUCGACCCCUAAGGCGAGGCCGAAAGGCGUAGUCGAUGGGAAACAGGUUAAUAUUCCUGUACUUGGUGUUACUGCGAAGGGGGGACGGAGAAGGCUAUGUCGGCCGGGCGACGGUCGUCCCGGUUUAAGCGUGUAGGCUGACUUUCCAGGCAAAUCCGGAAAGUUAAGGCUGAGGCGUGAUGACGAGGCACUACGGUGCUGAAGUGACAAAUGCCCUGCUUCCAGGAAAAGCCUCUAAGCAUCAGGUAACAUCAAAUCGUACCCCAAACCGACACAGGUGGUCAGGUAGAGAAUACCAAGGCGCUUGAGAGAACUCGGGUGAAGGAACUAGGCAAAAUGGUGCCGUAACUUCGGGAGAAGGCACGCUGACAUGUAGGUGAAGCCCCUGCGGGUGGAGCUGAAGUCAGUCGAAGAUACCAGCUGGCUGCAACUGUUUAUUAAAAACACAGCACUGUGCAAACACGAAAGUGGACGUAUACGGUGUGACGCCUGCCCGGUGCCGGAAGGUUAAUUGAUGGGGUUAUCGCAAGAGAAGCUCCUGAUCGAAGCCCCGGUAAACGGCGGCCGUAACUAUAACGGUCCUAAGGUAGCGAAAUUCCUUGUCGGGUAAGUUCCGACCUGCACGAAUGGCGUAAUGAUGGCCAGGCUGUCUCCACCCGAGACUCAGUGAAAUUGAACUCGCUGUGAAGAUGCAGUGUACCCGCGGCAAGACGGAAAGACCCCGUGAACCUUUACUACAGCUUGACACUGAACAUUGAGCCUUGAUGUGUAGGAUAGGUGGGAGGCUUUGAAGCGUGGACGCCAGUCUGCGUGGAGCCGACCUUGAAAUACCACCCUUUAAUGUUUGAUGUUCUAACCUGGCGCCGUGAUCCGGCGUGGGGACAGUGUCUGGUGGGUAGUUUGACUGGGGCGGUCUCCUCCCAAAGUGUAACGGAGGAGCACGAAGGUCAGCUAAUCCUGGUCGGACAUCAGGAGGUUAGUGCAAUGGCAUAAGCUGGCUUGACUGCGAGAGUGACGGCUCGAGCAGGUGCGAAAGCAGGUCAUAGUGAUCCGGUGGUUCUGUAUGGAAGGGCCAUCGCUCAACGGAUAAAAGGUACUCCGGGGAUAACAGGCUGAUACCGCCCAAGAGUUCAUAUCGACGGCGGUGUUUGGCACCUCGAUGUCGGCUCAUCACAUCCUGGGGCUGAAGUAGGUCCCAAGGGUAUGGCUGUUCGCCAUUUAAAGUGGUACGCGAGCUGGGUUUAGAACGUCGUGAGACAGUUCGGUCCCUAUCUGCCGUGGGCGCUGGAGAAUUGAGGGGGGCUGCUCCCAGUACGAGAGGACCGGAGUGGACGCAUCACUGGUGUUCGGGUUGUCAUGCCAAUGGCACUGCCCGGUAGCUAAAUGCGGAAGAGAUAAGUGCUGAAAGCAUCUAAGCACGAAACUUGCCCCGAGAUGAGUUCUCCCUGAGACUAUAAGUCUCCUGAAGGAACGUUGAAGACGACGACGUUGAUAGGCCGGGUGUGUAAGCGCAGCGAUGCGUUGAGCUAACCGGUACUAAUGAACCGUGAGGCUUAACCUU